Molecule: ribosomal RNA, 1370 nt
Filed under: uncultured bacterium
Lineage: Bacteria
Description: bacterial SSU rRNA
Rfam family: Bacterial small subunit ribosomal RNA
Source: RNAcentral
AGAGUUUGUUUCUGGCUCAGAACGAACGCUGGUGGCGUGGAUAAGACAUGCAAGUCGAACGAGAGAAUUGCUAGCUUGCUAAUAAUUCUCUAGUGGCGCACGGGUGAGUAACACGUGAGUAACCUGCCCCCGAGGGCGGGAUAGCCCUGGGAAACUGGGAUUAAUACCGCAUAGUAUCGAAAGAUUAAAGCAGCAAUGCGCUUGGGGAUGGGCUCGCGGCCUAUUAGUUAGUUGGUGAGGUAACGGCUCACCAAGGCGAUGACGGGUAGCCGGUCUGAGAGGAUGUCCGGCCACACUGGAACUGAGACACGGUCCAGACACCUACGGGUGGCAGCAGUCGAGAAUCAUUCACAAUGGGGGAAACCCUGAUGGUGCGACGCCGCGUGGGGGAAUGAAGGUCUUCGGAUUGUAAACCCCUGUCAUGUGGGAGCAAAUUAAAAAGAUAGUACCACAAGAGGAGGAGACGGCUAACUCUGUGCCAGCAGCCGCGGUAAUACAGAGGUCUCAAGCGUUGUUCGGAAUCACUGGGCGUAAAGCGUGCGUAGGCUGUUUCGUAAGUCGUGUGUGAAAGGCGCGGGCUCAACCCGCGGACGGCACAUGAUACUGCGAGACUAGAGUAAUGGAGGGGGAACCGGAAUUCUCGGUGUAGCAGUGAAAUGCGUAGAUAUCGAGAGGAACACUCGUGGCGAAGGCGGGUUCCUGGACAUUAACUGACGCUGAGGCACGAAGGCCAGGGGAGCGAAAGGGAUUAGAUACCCCUGUAGUCCUGGCAGUAAACGGUGCACCCUUGGUGUGCGGGGAAUCGACCCCCUGCGUGCCGGAGCUAACGCGUUAAGCGUGCCGCCUGGGGAGUUACGGUCGCAAGAUUAAAACUCAAAGAAAUUGACGGGGACCCGCACAAGCGGUGGAGUAUGUGGCUUAAUUCGAUGCAACGGGAAGAACCUUACCUGGGCUUGACAUGUAAUGAACAACAUGUGAAAGCAUGCGACUCUUCGGAGGCGUUACACAGGUGCUGCAUGGCCGUCGUCAGCUCGUGUCGUGAGAUGUUUGGUUAAGUCCAGCAACGAGCGCAACCCCUGUUACCAGUUACCAGCACGUGAAGGUGGGGACUCUGGCGAGACUGCCCAGAUCAACUGGGAGGAAGGUGGGGACGACGUCAGGUCAAUAUGGCCCUUAUGCCCAGGGCUGCACACGUACUACAAUGCCCAGUACAGAGGGGGCCGAAGCCGCGAGGCGGAGGAAAUCCUGAAAACUGGGCCCAGUUCGGACUGUAGGCUGCAACCCGCCUACACGAAGCCGGAAUCGCUAGUAAUGGCGCAUCAGCAUGUCGCGGUGAAUACAUUCCCGGGUCUUGCACACACCGCCCGUCA